AUAAAUUCAUGACAUAAUUGUGUUUUGGUGAUAGUGAUGUGUUUGUAGAUCUUACUUUACUGAACAUUCUUGUUGCUACAAAUAUCUCUUGUCUAUAAUGAACUUGGCCCAGUAAUUACAGUGGAAAAUAUUUUCUACAAAUUUACAAAAAUUUAUGAAAAAUGUUAAAAAUUAACUAUAAAGGGCAAUAACUUCCUUAAGGGGUCAAUUGACUAUUUUGGUCAUGUAAACUUAUUUGUAGAUCUUAUUUUGCUGAACGUUAUUGCUGUAUACAGUUUAUCUCUAUCUAUAAUAAUAUUCAAGAUAAUAACAAAAAACGGCAAAAUUUCCUUAAAAUUACCAAUUAAGGACAGUAACCUAACAACGGGUUGUCCGAUCCAUGUGAAAACAUCAGGGCAGAUAGAUCUUGACCUGAUAAACAAUUAAACCCUGUCAGAUUUUCUCUUAAUGCUUCGGUUUUUGAGUUAUAAGCCAAAAACUGCAUUUUACCCCUAUGUUCUAUUAUUAGCCGUGGCAGCCAUUUCGGUUGAUUGGCCAGGUCACGCCACACAUUUUUUAAACAAAUUACCCCAAUGAUGAUUGUGGCAAAGCUUAGUUUAAUUUGGCC
Molecule: long non-coding RNA, 607 nt
Filed under: Mytilus galloprovincialis (Mediterranean mussel)
Lineage: Eukaryota; Metazoa; Mollusca; Bivalvia; Mytilida; Mytilidae
Source: RNAcentral